Long non-coding RNA from Aquila chrysaetos chrysaetos, 1848 nucleotides. RefSeq lists it as uncharacterized. The record is from RefSeq and is a predicted model, not a curated record. Lineage: Eukaryota; Metazoa; Chordata; Aves; Accipitriformes; Accipitridae. The transcript has 2 exons.
AUGUGCCAAGCGUUGUCAAUAAGGUCACUUGCACAAGGCGUCUAUUUAGUCCCAGAGUCAGCAAAGCCAGAUCAGUGGUCUGGGGAGAAGAAACAGCUACUUGAACUUUAUAGGUUAAGAAAAUCCCCAGCUAAAGUGGAUCAUCAUUAAUAAGUUUCCAGUUACAUCCAAAGAAACGUCAACACUGAUGUUUUGCGAUCAGGAGGCUGGAGGAGGAAAUUGCUUUCCCAUCCUGGGAAAAUUUAGAAGAUUUAGAUUGCUUCCUCCUAUUCAGAGGGAUCCUUGGGAUGUAUCAUAUUACCAGCUUCCAGUGCCUGACACAAGAACUCGCUCAGAGUACAGAGUGCCUUCAGAAUUUGGCCCAGCUACGGAGUCAGUCCUUCAGCCAGAUCUGUCACAAGAGACUUGGACUGAAUGGAGACGUGGCCUUCUCCAAAACAGUGAAGAAAAAGCUGAUGAAGUACUGCGGACCUAGGCUUUGGGCAUCUUUUUUGCCCAUCUCUGAGAUUGGAAAAGCCUUUCAUCUGCUCCAAGACAGAGAGUAAGUAGAAAGUGAGGAGAGCAGCAGUUUCCCAUGCAACCCCCAGCUUGGGAAAGCAGGUGGAGUGGAGAGGAGAAGCCACCUUUCAAUUGUGUUUUAAUGAACAAGUUGUUUGUUCUCCCAUGUCCUUUGAUGAAUGGGUGUUUUCCUUCAAAAGCUGACGUUUGUCUUUCAUUACACCCAGCAUAUGCUCUACUAGGCAGGACCGUUUUUCUACUCUAGAUAAACAAACAUGAAAAUGAAUUUAUCUCGCAGAAGCAUGUUCUCUUUCAAGUCUGGCACAAGCCUGCCCUCUCCCCCAAUAAAUCUCUGGGUAAAUGUGAACUCCUCAGCAAGGCCCCCCCCUUACAUCAAAUGGAGACAUUUUGUAAGCUCCCAUCUCCGCACAGCUCAGGAAAGUUGCCACUGACUCCAGGCAUUUAGAGGCAGCGAUUUAACUAUAACUCACAGCUGAAUUUGAGAGCUCUUUAUCAUGAAAAAGAAACUUUUCCAAACCAGAAAGCAUCCAAAUCCUUUUCCCAGCUAGUGGUGGAUAGCAUUUUAACCCUCAAAUUGUGGGGGUGAUGUGAAACAGCACUGCCUGCAGGGUCUUGCAUGGUAUCUACUGUUGGAUGGAAGUUGGGUAGUAUAUUAUGAUGCCAGUUAAAGUCUCCGCUUUGAGAAACAGCCUGUUCAUUUGGUGCACAGGCCUGUGGAUAAAGCUAGUUGAAUCUUUAAAUGCAGUUUGGUUUCCUUCCAAACUUAAUCCUAUCUGCUGUUUGUACUUUAUUGGUUCACAACCUGAUCCUGCAGAUAGUUUCUUUGUGUUUAGACAUGGCAAAAUAUGUCCAGAAAUUACAGUCCCUGAACCUCCCUGUCAUUGCGUGCCUUAAACCCACUGAAAUGUACACCGAAACCAAAGCACACUGGAGCUCUUUGCAGUUACUCACCUUCAACACAGGAGAGAUGUAUCUUUUGAACGAGUUCAGACAAAGACAGAAAGCUGGAUGGUAGUCCUUCACAUUUCUGGACAAAUAAUCAUUCAACCUUAUGUCAAUUAAACUUUCGCAAUCUGUCAGUAUUUUCACAAAUGUGACAAGUAGUUUAACCAAAUAAUGGUCCUGAUUUAUGAAAGUACUUAAGCAUGUGCUUGACUCUAACUGCAUGUUGGUAUCUCCUUGAAGUCAAUGAUACUGAGGGGUAUCUGUGAUUACGUGCACGUUUAAGUGCCUUUGAAUGCUUAACUGAUAUCUUGAAUAGGGCCAGUAUUAGUCAUUUGGUAACACCUGUCCUACUGUAGGAGCAUAUUAAUAAAUCAACCUGGUCAA